This 3768-nucleotide long non-coding RNA is filed under the name Portunus trituberculatus (swimming crab). RNAcentral's name for it is "uncharacterized LOC123511162". The record is from RNAcentral. Lineage: Eukaryota; Metazoa; Arthropoda; Malacostraca; Decapoda; Portunidae.
CCGUCUCUCUCUCUCUCUCUCUCUCUCUCUCUCUCUCUCUCUCUCUCUCUCUCUCUCUCUCUCAUAGCUACCUAGAAAACCAACAAAUAACUCGGUAACAGUGUCAUCUAGAGGCGUAGAACAAACAAUACAAUACAGUAAACAUGUUCAAUAAACAAAGGACGUCAGGAGGAGGCAGUGUUCGUACGUACGUACGUGUGUGUGUGUGUGUGUGUGUGUGUGUGUGUGUGUGUGUGUGCGCGCGCGCGCGAGCGUGUGUGUGUGUGUGUGUGUGUGUGUGUGUGUGUGUGUUACGCGCGUUCACUGUUCCGGUUUAGCGUCGUGGGUUCGGCUUGGCUUUGUCCCCGAGCGUUGUGGCGGCGCGGGCAAGUAGGUUGGCACUAACGCCACCACAGACGGUAGAAAAUACAUGAGUCUUGGUGAUGCGAUGCUAAUAAUGGUCACCUAGCUACUCAUACUAGCGCUACUUAUAAACACAAUUUAAAUAUUCAUAGAUUUCCGUCAUUACCAUUCGCGGAAACCAUCCAUGUCAUUAUUCUUUUUUUUUUUUCUGAAUCGAGGAUGCUUUGUUUCUCUCUCUCAGAAUCCGUAAAGCUUAACUGGAGCAAAUCGUAAGUAUACAUUUUUCCUUUCUUCAUGAUUCAUUAAACUUACCAGAAGGCAGUUGGUCCCUCUUGUUUAAAUUCGAGUUCACCUUUUCCUUCACUGUUUGAUGACACAGCAGCGUUCACUGGACAUAUGGAAGCGAGCAAGUUGAGAUCAAAAUCUGCCAUGACUGACAGCGGGAACAAGUUUGCCUGCAGCCAGUCAUGUCUGACGACCUUGCCUCCUUACUCAGCUCGUGUGCAGGCAAAGCUCUUCACGGCGAUCAAUAGUACUUCCGUAUUUACAGGGUUUCUAUUUUGUGAUACACCUCCAAUCUCUCGUUCAAGCCCCACCGGGACGCGGCUGCUGGGCGAUGAACAGCCUUGGCGAGCACCCCUGAUGUCAGCACGGCUGCUGCUGCUGCUCCUCCCUUGGCGGGGACCAGCAGCGGGCGGUCGUGCGGCGAACAGUUGGCAGGAAAGUCGCACGCAUUACCUCAGCCAUGCAGGACACACUCUGAUACGCAAUAUAACGUAUAAUGGAAUUAUCUGCGACGCACCAAGUGUUAAAAAUCACAUCAAAUAAAUGCUGGGAGAGAGAGAAAACAAGGCAACAGACAAAAAGGUUCACCUUGGCCAAAACAUUUCAAGUCUGCUGCAAUGUGCAGUACUUCCUUAGAGCAGCAGGACGCCCUCCCCACACCGGGAAGUGAUGGUCCGAGCUGUCUGGCUCACACCCCGGGAUCGAGGGGCGCAGCGCAGCGGUGACUGUUGGAAAGAGUCUGGAGAAGAGGAACAAAAGAGGAAGGGAGGAGGGAGGAAGUCUGUAGUCUGUACCCUAAAAGUUAACACUACCACUUUCGGGUUCCUCUUUACUGGGCGCCCCAACUCCCCGUAAAAGCUGUGGUGCAACCAGCACUCUUCUCCUUCGUAGACUUGCAAAUCUACAAACAUUACAGUGUCACCGAGACCGUGGCAGUGAAAUCUAAUAACUUUCUCAAAUCUUCCUUUUCUCUGGGUUUCCUCCUUAUUUCCUCCUGCUCCCCUGUCCAUCCUCCACCUCCUUGACGCUGAGAAUAACUUAAUUGAAUAAGUUCUUCUUUAUCUUUUUCUUUCAGUUCUUCAUUACACCUUCCGCCUCUCUCUCUAUCUCUAACCUGAAGAUCACUCUCUGACGCUGGUGAGCCAAAUAGCUCCUCGGCGCGCACACAUACGUGCCCUGACGCCGUGUAAACCAAUCAAUCAAAGUAAAGAAAUCUCCAUACGCUUGUUUUAUCAGGGUUGGCGGGCGGCGGGAGGCAGGCAGCGGGAGGGAGGGGGAGCUGCCGUGCCCUGUGUUACCGCGGUCCAUUUUUUGUGUUUUCGUGACGCAAAUCUUAGUAGACAAGAAUGUGUUGUGUAAAUAUUUCAUCAUUUUGACGAUAGGAUUAUUAUCAUCUUGUUUGUGUGUGUGUGUGUGUGUGUGUGUGUGUGUGUGUGUGUGUGUGUGUGUGUACGGAAGGAGAGGCAGUUCGAGCCAGUGUGCGAGUCAGUGAGUUAGUCCCCGUGGCGGUGCGGGGUCAAUAAAUUUAUUUCCUUAUCUUUAUUUCCCCUUGAGCUCCUUCCUUGCCCUGAUCUGCACAAUGCCAGUUUCCUCCCCGUCCAAACGCACGCAGGACAAACAGAUCUACCAAUAAACUACAAACACAGAAUUGAUUAUUUUUUGUUCUUGGCGCCAUCGGUAUGUCAUGACUAUUCUUAGCGUCAUCUGCGUGCAAGAAUCCAAAAGAAUAUUAUUAAAAAAGCAAUCCUCUCAAAGUUUAGAAUAUAGUACUUGGUGUCUUGGCAUCUGAAUCAAUUAUGGAAGCUCUACCUCGUCAAUUGAUCGCUACUUCACGUGCAGUCAGCAUUACGUGGAAUGAACGCGUGGGAUGGGAAGGCGUUAUACGUAACCAGUCUUUUCUCCCAGUGACUCCUGAUCUUGGGUUGAGAUACAAGACUAGGAUGGGAAUCAUUUAAGCCAAGGGAUGCAGUUAGUGGUGUAGGAAGGCGUAGAAUGAAGCUGCCGUGUGACUGUUGUUCUCUCUAUUCAGUACAGAGAAAUGAAAAACCACGAAUUCAUCCUACGUUUUCCUACACCACUAACUCCACCCCGUCUGCUCCUUCCCGCCGCUCAUUGCCUCGUAUUCGCUGCCUGUUCGAACCAUACAUCUUUCCUCUAUCUCAGAAUGAACUGAAUUAAGUGAAGGAGCAAGGAGGAUGAAUCUUAAACUCUCCUGUCUGACCAUGCUAUGGGAGGAAGCUGACUGCCCUUGCACUGUAUGGAGAGACGGAAAUUUAAGGUCAAGUUCCGAAGCAUCACUUAGUUGUUCAUUCUCACUCAUAGCUUGGUUCGAAAUCCCUGAACUUUGAAUUAUUCAUAUUGUGUCCAUUUGUUUGCCAGAAUGGUGAAUGAUGCAACAAAAACUUGUGUAUACUACUUAAGAAAAAAUACCGGAAUAUGAGAAGGUUUUACGUACUGCUCAAAAGUUACCGUUAGUGAUAAUGCGACACUUGUAUAACUACUUACAUCGUUCGUGUUUUUGUGUUUUGGUCGCAGAGUGUGUGUGUGUGUGUGUGUGUGUGUGUGUGUUGACGCACGCGCACGCUUCCUAUGCUCCAAAGAAAAAUAUGAUAAUAAUGGGAGGGAGGGAACCGGCAUCGUGCAAAUCCAUCGAUGUGUUCAAACGAGUCCCUAAAUCAAUUCAACCUUUGUAACAUUAAGUGCAUACGUGGUGUAAAAUAACAAACAUUUUGUUUUUCGUUGUAAUGCGAAUUUCUCUCAAAAUAAAAACCCAGUAAGCUAAUAAGGGCGUCAACAUAAUGCAAUAAGGAGAAAUCAGGAAAUAAAAAAAAAAUAACAAAAAAAUAUAUAUACUGGUAGGUGUAGCCUAAGUCAGUGCCGGGGACGAGUGUUGGGACAUCCCGGGUUCUCAGAGGGCGAGCAGAUCCAGCCCAAUCACAGCACGGCAUUCACUCACAACGACCAAUAGAAAUCAAGCUUUUUUCUCUUUUCUCUAACUACUUUAUUGUGGCUUUCUGCGUCGCCCUCUGAAAAUGGCGGGGAAGAGAAUCCUUUCUUUAUUUUACUUGAUUACCUGUACUUCCUUAGAUUCGCUGGCAACUUUGUAAUAUGGAAGAGAUUUAAAUAAAGUCAAGCAGCAAU